This 536-nucleotide long non-coding RNA is filed under the name Vigna radiata. RNAcentral's name for it is "long non-coding RNA (VRAD_LNC013301)". The record is from RNAcentral. Lineage: Eukaryota; Viridiplantae; Streptophyta; Magnoliopsida; Fabales; Fabaceae.
CUGUUUACUCGGAUUUGCAGGCGAGGAAUUAACUUGUCUAUCGUGUUCGUUUGAGAGGAAAAGCGACGAUGGGCGAGGACAGAUUUGCGGGAUGUAUAGGUUUUGGAUCACCUGCGAUGGAGAAGAGAUUUGUAGUGAUUUAUGUUAAAAAGUCAUGUGUACCCUCAUCGUUUUAUUAAAUUUCAUCCCAAUUUUUCACAAGAGCUUCCAUUCCACAACGAGAAAGAUGAAGGCCUAACGAAGAAAAAAAAAACCAUGGCGAGAAGGCAGAAUGCGAAACCAGAACUAUCGUCCUUCGCCGGCAACGAACAACGACAUCGUCGCACCAUCCAUUGUCCCAAGCUCUGAAGGAUCUCGCCGUCACCGUCGCCACCGUUGCACGAACAUGAAACCCCAUGGGUCGUGCCUCUGCCGCUGCGUCACACCGAACGAUUGCUGCUGCUGCAUCGCCACUCACCCCAAAGUUGUCGCCAGCUAGACGAACUCUGCAGCAGUGCCACCAUUACAAAACCAAAACGCAGGCCCCAUGACUAGUA